This 482-nucleotide ribosomal RNA is filed under the name uncultured bacterium. Its description in RNAcentral is "partial 16S ribosomal RNA". It matches the Rfam family "Bacterial small subunit ribosomal RNA", at positions 30 to 507 of the family's 1533-position model. The record is from RNAcentral.
AUUGAACGCUGGCAGCAUGCCUUACACAUGCAAGUCGAACGGUAACAGGUCUUCGGAUGCUGACGAGUGGCGAACGGGUGAGUAAUACAUCGGAACGUGCCCGAUCGUGGGGGAUAACGAAGCGAAAGCUUUGCUAAUACCGCAUAAGAUCUACGGAUGAAAGCAGGGGACCGCAAGGCCUUGCGCGAACGGAGCGGCCGAUGGCAGAUUAGGUAGUUGGUGGGAUAAAAGCUUACCAAGCCGACGAUCUGUAGCUGGUCUGAGAGGACGACCAGCCACACUGGAACUGAGACACGGCCCAGACUCCUACGGGAGGCAGCAGUGGGGAAUUUUGGACAAUGGGCGAAAGCCUGAUCCAGCCAUGCCGCGUGCAGGAUGAAGGCCUUCGGGUUGUAAACUGCUUUUGUACGGAACGAAAAGACUCUGGUUAAUACCUGGGGUCCAUGACGGUACCGUAAGAAUAAGCACCGGCUAACUACGUG